This 328-nucleotide unclassified non-coding RNA is filed under the name soil metagenome. RNAcentral's name for it is "partial contains 5.8S ribosomal RNA, internal transcribed spacer 2, and large subunit ribosomal RNA". The stretch from base 1 to 120 matches the Rfam family "5.8S ribosomal RNA", at positions 35 to 154 of the family's 154-position model. The record is from RNAcentral.
GAUGAAGAACGUAGCGAAAUGCGAUAAGUAGUGUGAAUUGCAGAAUUCAGUGAAUCAUCGAGUCUUUGAACGCACAUUGCGCCCCCUGGUAUUCCGGGGGGCAUGCCUGUCCGAGCGUCAUUACAACCCUCAAGCUCAGCUUGGUGUUGGGCCCCGCCGCCCCGGCGGGCCCUAAAGUCAGUGGCGGUGCCGUCCGGCUCCGAGCGUAGUAAUUCUUCUCGCUCUGGAGGUCCGGUCGUGUGCUCGCCAGCAACCCCCAAUUUUUUUCAGGUUGACCUCGGAUCAGGUAGGGAUACCCGCUGAACUUAAGCAUAUCAUAAGCGGAGGA